CGGCCCCAGACCUGGGGGGCCACCUGGACUCCAGGAGGCCGGCCAGAAUCCCCCAGGAGUGGAGGCUGGGGAUGCACCCGGCGAGCCCCGGAAGGUGCCGCAACCUCCCUCCCACGAGGGCCUGGAGCAGAACUCUCGGGCACACGCUGAGGUCCAGGAACGCAUGGUGCCCAUCCGGUAACUUCCCCAGCUGGCUGGGGAAUGAGGGGACAUCCUGGGGGCAGGGUCGGGCACGGGGACAGGAGAGUAAGGGGUGGAAUCACAGCACCCCUGCAGUCUCCAUACCAGACCCACCCUAAGCCCAAGGGUGGGCCAGGGAGGAGAGGCCACCCCUGGGGCAAGGGAAGUUGGGGGAGCUCCCUUCUCACCCAGGGCUGGGGCCCCUGCCUGUACAUCCCCUCCCAAAGAGUCUGCUGCAACCCCCAUCUUAUCUUGAAGCUCUGCCUCCCAUACCCCAAAAGUGGAAGGGUGGGGCAGACAGCUAACUCCACUCCAUGGCCCCAGGAUGGAGGGCGCUGCCUGCCCCAGGGCAGGUGCAACAGAGCUCUGGGACAUCCACAGCCACGUGUUCACAGAGACGAAGCACAGGACAUAUGUGUACCAGGCCAGCGACAUGUGUGCCACAAGGCCCCCAUCCAUGCAGGUCACCAUUGAGGAUGUGCAGGCCCAGAGGGGCGGCGUGGCGCAAUUCCAGGCUGUCAUUGAGGGCAACCCGCAGCCCACAGUGACCUGGUAUAAGGUAGGGACAGGCGUGGGGUGGGGGCCUGCCUGCGAGAGGGGUAGUGUGUGAAACCCCACUGGACUGGACACAGCACU
This 816-nucleotide long non-coding RNA is filed under the name Balaenoptera musculus (blue whale). RNAcentral describes it as "lncRNA (ENSBMSG00010000093.1)". Lineage: Eukaryota; Metazoa; Chordata; Mammalia; Artiodactyla; Balaenopteridae. The record is from RNAcentral.